AGCAGCCGCGGUAAUUCCAGCUCCAAUAGCGUAUAUUAAAGUUGUUGCAGUUAAAAAGCUCGUAGUUGAAUUUCGGGAUCAAUACGUCGGUCGUGCUUCGGUACGUACUGGCGCCAUUGAUUUCUCCCUUCUGACGAACCAUGAUGUCAUUAACUUGGUGUCAUGGGAAAUCAGGACUGUUACUUUGAAAAAUUAGAGUGUUUAAAGCAGGCUCACGCUUGAAUACAUUAGCAUGGAAUAAUGAAAUAGGACGUUCGAUCCUAUUUUGUUGGUUUUAGGAUCAACGUAAUGAUUAAUAGGGAUAGUUGGGGGCAUUAGUAUUCAAUUGUCAGAGGUGAAAUUCUUGGAUUUAUUGAAGACUAACUACUGCGAAAGCAUUUGCCAAGGAUGUUUUCAUUAAUCAAGAACGAAAGUUAGGGGAUCGAAGACGAUCAGAUACCGUCGUAGUCU
This 450-nucleotide ribosomal RNA is filed under the name uncultured Glomeromycotina. Its description in RNAcentral is "SSU rRNA". It matches the Rfam family "Eukaryotic small subunit ribosomal RNA", at positions 569 to 1026 of the family's 1831-position model. Lineage: Eukaryota; Fungi; Glomeromycota. The record is from RNAcentral.